Molecule: long non-coding RNA, 758 nt
Organism: Carassius gibelio (silver crucian carp)
Lineage: Eukaryota; Metazoa; Chordata; Actinopteri; Cypriniformes; Cyprinidae
Exons: 3
Source: RefSeq, a predicted model, not a curated record
CUUGAGGCAAAGUUGUGCAUUAUGAGGAGAUCUAUCAAAUGAUAUGCAUAUUGUGUUGAUAUGUGAAACACCACGUGAUUACAGAGCCAUAAAACUCGUUAGCGCCAACUAGUGGCCGAUUUCUUUCAAAAUUCUUACAGACCUUAAGGUUCAUGAGUCAAACGUACCCAGCGAGUUUCGUUCCGAUCAACAUCCGUUAACCCUUUCAAAUAGGUGCUUAAAAUUGUUUGGCCAAUGGCGGCCAUGUUUUUUGAGAUAUGCAAAUGUCCUCAUAGGUACUUGUGCCCCUUCAGACCAAGACACUGCAUACCAAUUUUCAAGUCGAUCGAGCCAACGGUUGCCUAGUUAUAGCCAUUUAUGUGUUUUUUAAAUCUUAUUGCGCCCCCAAGUGGUAGAGAUGCGCAAUUUUUUUUUAUUUGACCAAAGAUUGAGCUCAUACAUAUGUGUACCAAGUUUGGUCAAGAUAUCUCAUUCCGUUCAAGAGUUAUAGUCAAAAUAACAUUUGGCUAACGUUAGCAUAGACGCUUUUUGGCGUACUGUUUCGCGUAAGAAUCGAAAUUUCAACUUUUUUUUGAUAAUUAUUUAUAUUGAGUGUCCAGGGAAUAUUUCUGCAGUGGUUUCGUUCCGAUUGGUUGAAAAUCCUAGGACUAGUUCGCAAAAGUAGGUUUCGGAUAUAGCUCGAUUUUGCGAGAAAACGGUGCGUCGUAGAGCAAAAAAUGCAGCUGUGCACUUUUGUUCGGGCUAACCCAAGGAUUGCA